CCUACGGGCGGCAGCAGUGAGGAAUAUUGGUCAAUGGCCGGAAGGCUGAACCAGCCAAGCCGCGUGAGGGAGGAAGGCGCAGAGCGUCGCAGACCUCUUUUGCCGGGGGACAAAAGGCCGGACGGGUCCGGUUCUGAGUGUACCCGGAGAAAAAGCAUCGGCUAACUCCGUGCCAGCAGCCGCGGUAAUACGGAGGAUGCGAGCGUUAUCCGGAUUCAUUGGGUUUAAGGGGUGGGCAGGGGGGCCUUUAAGCGGGCGGGGAAAUCGCGGGGCUCAACCCCGCCGAGCAGUCGGAACUGGGAGCCUAGAGUGCGGGAGGGGCAUGCGGAAUGCGCGGUGUAGCGGGGAAAGGCAUAGAUAUCGAGAAGAACACUGAUGGCGAAGGCAGGGUGCCGUAC
This 398-nucleotide ribosomal RNA is filed under the name uncultured bacterium. RNAcentral's name for it is "partial 16S ribosomal RNA". It matches the Rfam family "Bacterial small subunit ribosomal RNA", at positions 338 to 734 of the family's 1533-position model. The record is from RNAcentral.